GAUUUGUCUGGUUUAUUCCGAUAACGAGCGAGACUCUAGCUUACUAAAUAGUCUGGUCUUUAUUACUGAGGCCUGACUUCUUAGAGGGAUUUUCGGUGUUCAGCCGCACGAGAUUGAGCAAUAACAGGUCUGUGAUGCCCUUAGAUGUCCGGGGCUGCACGCGCGCUACACUGGCGAAAUCAGCGUGCUUUUCCUAUCUCGAAAGAGAUUGGUAAACCGAUGAAAAUUUGCCGUGAUUGGGAUCGGAAAUUGCAAUUAUUUUCCGUGAACGAGGAAUUCCAAGUAAGUGCGAGUCAUCAACUCGCGUUGAUUACGUCCCUGCCCUUUGUA
Molecule: ribosomal RNA, 330 nt
Filed under: Aphelenchus sp. A07
Lineage: Eukaryota; Metazoa; Nematoda; Chromadorea; Rhabditida; Aphelenchidae
Description: SSU rRNA
Rfam family: Eukaryotic small subunit ribosomal RNA
Source: RNAcentral